This 471-nucleotide ribosomal RNA is filed under the name uncultured bacterium. RNAcentral's name for it is "bacterial SSU rRNA". It matches the Rfam family "Bacterial small subunit ribosomal RNA", at positions 355 to 825 of the family's 1533-position model. The record is from RNAcentral.
UCGAGGAUCUUUAGCAAUGCCCGAAAGGGUGACUAUGCGACGCCGCGUGUGGGAUGAAGGCCUUCGGGUCGUAAACCACUGUCAGGGAGGAAGAAACCUUACGUGUUAACAGCGCGUAAGCUGACAUCACUCCCAAAGGAAGCCACGGCUAACUCUGUGCCAGCAGCCGCGGUAAGACAGAGGUGGCAAGCGUUGUUCGGAUUUAUUGGGUGUAAAGGGUCCGUAGGUGGUCUAACAAGUCUGAUGUGAAAUCCCAUGGCUCAACCGUGGAACUGCAUUGGAAACUGUUGGACUUGAGUACCGCAGAGGUAAAGGGAAUUCCCGGUGUAAGGGUGAAAUGCGUAGAGAUCUGGAGGAACACCGAUGGCGAAGGCAGCCCCCUGGGCUAACACUGACGCUCAUGCACGAAAGCGUGGGGAGCAAACAGGAUUAGAUACCCAUGUAGUCCCUGAGCGGGCUGGCAAGGCGCAU